UGCCCCGUACUGAAUCUGGCUUGCCACUCCUUCCUUGCCAAGUGGACAGCACGGGGAGUACUGGUGUUCCUUCACGGUGUCUGUACUGUUACCUUAGCGGAUCGGGAGGUGUUGGGGGGAUGAGGCGUGGCACAUAGUGAAACAUAUAGGGCUAGCUAGUCGGCAAGAUUUAAAGCCUCGUUCCUGCCACUACCAGCCUCCUUGAAACUGUUAGGUCUGGCUAGACUAUACCACUACUACCAAUCCAGCGCCGCCAGCAGUCCUCCACGCUAUAUGAUUCAGGAAAACUCCACCAAAGAGCGUGGAUCGAGGAGUGGUGAAUGACUGGCGUGCUUCAGUGAUUGUCAGAUUCCUGGAACAAGGCUCUUAGAAAUGUUCCCAGCAAGCCACAAUAAUCAAGCACAGCCAUGCAGCCCUUACCUCAGCCCCGCCCUGCCCCGCCCCGCCCGCAUCAUGACACACUCAAACUGUCUGUCUGGCUGGGAGUGGUGGACGGACGCUAAGGACUUACCUCGUUGGAGUGGGUGCGGUUCUGGUGUUUGGCGCGGUCGGAGGCGUUGGAGAAAGCCUUGGUGCAGCCCGGGAACUCACACAUAUAAGGCUUCUCCCCCGUGUGUGAGCG
Long non-coding RNA from Portunus trituberculatus (swimming crab), 622 nucleotides. RefSeq lists it as uncharacterized. The record is from RefSeq and is a predicted model, not a curated record. The transcript has 3 exons. Lineage: Eukaryota; Metazoa; Arthropoda; Malacostraca; Decapoda; Portunidae.